Mizuhopecten yessoensis (Yesso scallop) is the source of this 885-nucleotide long non-coding RNA. RefSeq lists it as uncharacterized. The transcript is spliced from 2 exons. The record is from RefSeq and is a predicted model, not a curated record. NCBI's taxonomy places the organism in Eukaryota, Metazoa, Mollusca, Bivalvia, Pectinida, Pectinidae.
CGCUACUCAUUUUGCUCGCACUAAGAUAUCUGUACACUGGAGACGGGGUGAUCAAAUUACUCUGAUCAGUGGCAUUUUGGAAGGGAGUCUUGCAAGAAAAAUGCGUGGGAUAUUAUACUGGUUAGCCAAUGAGUGGUCUUUAUACUGUCACGUGAUUUUAGAUUAUUUCUGUAAGGUGUGUCUGAAUUUGUGAAUAAAAUGCUUGACAUUCUCUCCGCUGCAAACAAAUGGACUUUCCUGUUGAGGAAGGACAACUAAUUUAGGACUGAACACCAAGAAUAAGGAGCCCGACAAAAUGAACUCUCAGAACCUCCUACAAUGUGUCAUCAUGUUUCUGUCCGCAUUGACGAUAUCGCUGGCACUUAAAGAGGCCAUGGCAACGAACGAUGAUGUCGACGCUCCACUUUCAGCAGACAAUAUUGGUUACAUUAUUGGUAAACUACAACGGCGCAGUGGACUUUCCCUUUUAGCGCCUCCUAGUGUAUAUGGUUCAAAGUUUGCCCCAUACUUACAAAAAACUCCCGACAAACGCGCAAGAUAUCUCAUUUGGAUGCCUGCCCAAGGUUAUGUGUCUGUACCACAGGAAGAUAUCAGUAAUGGAGGAGGAGGUUCGCCGUCUUCUUCAAAAGUGUUCAGAUAUGGCUAAAGUUUGGUUACCAUGACGCCCAAAACAGCUCUCUUGGUAUGACACAAGUAGCAACGAUGUGGUGCAUUACCAUUUAUAACAGUAAAAAGCAUUUAUGUGUAUGGCAACAACGGAGAAGGAGCAAAUGAUUACAAACUUAUUUGACCGAAACAUUUCUGUAAUGCUGAAAUCAAAUAAAAUGUCAUAUUUCAGGGGAAACUUGGAAAUUGUGGAAGUACUUGUUAUACAUGUUAAUACAA